RNAcentral lists this unclassified non-coding RNA (425 nucleotides) under Hevea brasiliensis (rubber tree). The record is from RNAcentral. Lineage: Eukaryota; Viridiplantae; Streptophyta; Magnoliopsida; Malpighiales; Euphorbiaceae.
AAAGAAAGCAACUUCUUUUGAGAAGGAAUUUUGAAGCAAAAGCAAAAUACAUACAAAAGAAAACGAAGUUUUGGAUUAAAGAGAAGAAUAUAGAAAAUGAGAAACAUGGGAAGCAUGGGAAGCAGUGCAAGGCUAUCAAUGGAAGAAAAUGAAGAAAAUGAAGAAAAGAGUUCAAAAUUUAACAUAGCCACAUUUCAAGCUAGAGAAGAGGAGGUUGAGCGGAAGAAGAUGGAAGUGAAGGAAAAAGUUGAAGUUCAGUUAGGUCGAGCCGAAGAAGAAGCUAAGCGCUUGACUCAGAUUUGGGAAGAGCUUGAAGUAAUGGCUGAUCCUAUGAGAAAAGAAGUUGGAUAUAUACGUAAGAAGAUUGACAUGAUUAAUAGAGACCUGAAGCCACUGGGUCUGAGCUGCCAAAAGAAGGAGAAAGA